UUUAAAUGCAACCAUAAAUUUUUCACCCAAUAUUAGUUUUUUUGAAUUUUUUUAUAAUUAGUAUUUUUUGCUGUUAUGAAAUAAUAAAACAUGAAUAGUACUUUAUUGAUUUAUGUUUUUAAAUUUUUUUAAAAAAAUAAAUAAGAUGGACGAUAAAAGUUAGGUGCGAAAAAUUAUGGCUACACGACGG
RNAcentral lists this microRNA precursor (190 nucleotides) under Oryza sativa Indica Group (long-grained rice). RNAcentral describes it as "MIR812 microRNA precursor family". It matches the Rfam family "MIR812 microRNA precursor family". Lineage: Eukaryota; Viridiplantae; Streptophyta; Magnoliopsida; Poales; Poaceae. The record is from Rfam by way of RNAcentral.